This 811-nucleotide ribosomal RNA is filed under the name Promicromonospora sp. AP36w. RNAcentral describes it as "bacterial SSU rRNA". It matches the Rfam family "Bacterial small subunit ribosomal RNA", at positions 392 to 1214 of the family's 1533-position model. The record is from RNAcentral. Lineage: Bacteria; Bacillati; Actinomycetota; Actinomycetes; Micrococcales; Promicromonosporaceae.
CGACGCCACGUGAGGGAUGACGGCCUUCGGGUUGUAAACCUCUUUCAGCAGGGAAGAAGCGCAAGUGACGGUACCUGCAGAAGAAGCGCCGGCUAACUACGUGCCAGCAGCCGCGGUAAUACGUAGGGCGCAAGCGUUGUCCGGAAUUAUUGGGCGUAAAGAGCUCGUAGGCGGUCUGUCGCGUCUGGUGUGAAAUCCCAUGGCUCAACUGUGGGCUUGCAUCGGGUACGGGCAGACUAGAGUGCUGUAGGGGAGACUGGAAUUCCUGGUGUAGCGGUGGAAUGCGCAGAUAUCAGGAGGAACACCGAUGGCGAAGGCAGGUCUCUGGGCAGUUACUGACGCUGAGGAGCGAAAGCAUGGGGAGCGAACAGGAUUAGAUACCCUGGUAGUCCAUGCCGUAAACGUUGGGCACUAGGUGUGGGGCGGGUUCCACUCGUUCUGUGCCGUAGCUAACGCAUUAAGUGCCCCGCCUGGGGAGUACGGCCGCAAGGCUAAAACUCAAAGGAAUUGACGGGGGCCCGCACAAGCGGCGGAGCAUGCGGAUUAAUUCGAUGCAACGCGAAGAACCUUACCAAGGCUUGACAUGUACGAGAAAGCCCCAGAGAUGGGGUUCUCUUUGGACACUCGUACACAGGUGGUGCAUGGUUGUCGUCAGCUCGUGUCGUGAGAUGUUGGGUUAAGUCCCGCAACGAGCGCAACCCUUAUCCUAUGUUGCCAGCGGGUUAUGCCGGGGACUCAUGGGAGACUGCCGGGGUCAACUCGGAGGAAGGUGGGGAUGACGUCAAAUCAUCAUGCCCCUUAUGUCUUGGGC